AUGAGCUCUGUGCGGCCCCUGUGUAUCAACACAAGGACUCGCAAUGGGCACACUUGAGUUGAUUUGAGGAUUUUUCCAUGGUCGCAAACUCUUUGGUUUCCUCUGUAGUUGGUGACACUGAUACCAAUAAUGGACAGGCCCAGGUGGCAGAAGCAAUCAGCUGUGAUCACGUUCUCCACGGUUGCCUCUGUGGGUAGGAACUGGGAGACCGAUAGUGGACAUACUGGAGCUGAUUUAAGGAUUCUCCCAUAGUCUUAAGAUGAUGGUUGCUGCCGUAUGUUUGGUGCAUAGAAACCACUGU
Long non-coding RNA from Lemur catta (Ring-tailed lemur), 301 nucleotides. RefSeq lists it as uncharacterized. The record is from RefSeq and is a predicted model, not a curated record. NCBI's taxonomy places the organism in Eukaryota, Metazoa, Chordata, Mammalia, Primates, Lemuridae. The transcript is spliced from 4 exons.